AGAGUUUGAUCAUGGCUCAGAACGAACGCUGGCGGCAUGCCUAACACAUGCAAGUCGAACGCCCCGCAACGGGAGUGGCGCACGGGUGCGUAACACGUGCGUAUCUGCCCUCUGGUACGGAAUGACCAGGGGAAACUUGAGCUAAUACCGUACGAUGCCGCACGGCCAAAGAUUUAUCGACAGAGGAUGAGCCCGCGUCGGAUUAGCUAGUUGGGGGGGUAAUGGCCCACCAAGGCUACGGUCCGUAGCUGGUCUGAGAGGAUGAUCAGCCACACUGGGACUGAGACACGGCCCAGACUCCUACGGGAGGCAGCAGUGGGGAAUAUUGGACAAUGGGCGAAAGCCUGAUCCAGCAAUGCCGCGUGAGUGAUGAAGGCCUUCGGGUUGUAAAGCGCUUUUGCCCGGGAAGAUAAUGACGGUACCGGGAGAAGAAGCCCCGGCUAACUCCGUGCCAGCCGCCGCGGUAAUUC
Molecule: ribosomal RNA, 470 nt
Filed under: uncultured bacterium
Lineage: Bacteria
Description: bacterial SSU rRNA
Rfam family: Bacterial small subunit ribosomal RNA
Source: RNAcentral